GCCGGCGUAGCUCAGGGGUAGAGCAACUGAUUCGUAAUCAGUAGGUCCACAGUUCGAUUCUGUGCGCCGGCACCA
Molecule: transfer RNA, 75 nt
Filed under: Bradyrhizobium sp.
Lineage: Bacteria; Pseudomonadati; Pseudomonadota; Alphaproteobacteria; Hyphomicrobiales; Nitrobacteraceae
Also listed under: 5 other names
Description: tRNA-Thr
Rfam family: tRNA
About the family: Transfer RNA (tRNA) molecules are approximately 80 nucleotides in length. Their secondary structure includes four short double-helical elements and three loops (D, anti-codon, and T loops).
Source: RNAcentral